Molecule: ribosomal RNA, 494 nt
Filed under: uncultured bacterium
Lineage: Bacteria
Description: partial 16S ribosomal RNA
Rfam family: Bacterial small subunit ribosomal RNA
Source: RNAcentral
GACGAACGCUGGCGGCGUGCUUAACACAUGCAAGUCGAACGGAAAGGCCUGCUUUCCCUUGUGGAUUGCGGGUACUCGAGUGGCGAACGGGUGAGUAACACGUGAGUGAUCUGCCCCCAACUUGGGUAUAAGCCUGGGAAACUGGGUCUAAUUCCCGAUAGGACUGCAGGGUGGUGCCUGUGGUGGCAAACGAUUUUCUAGUGGUUGGGGAUGAGCUCGCGGCCUAUCAGCUUGUUGGUGGGGUAAUGGCCUACCAAGGCGGCGACGGGUAGCCGGCCUGGGAGGGUGGACGGCCACAUUGGGACUGAGAUACGGCCCAGACUCCUACGGGAGGCAGCAGUGGGGAAGAUUGCACAAUGGGCGGAAGCCUGAUGCAGCGACGCCGCGUGGGGGAUGACGGCCUUCGGGUUGUAAACUCCUUUCGACCGCGAGGAAGCCACCUGGUUGGAAGGGUGGUGACGGUAGUGGUAGAAGAAGCACCGGCUAACUACGUG